Non-coding RNA from Dipodomys ordii (Ord's kangaroo rat), 65 nucleotides. The record is from Rfam. Lineage: Eukaryota; Metazoa; Chordata; Mammalia; Rodentia; Heteromyidae.
GGUGGUUCAGUGGUAGAGUGCUUGCCUUGCAUGCAUGAGGUCCUGGGUUCGAUUCCUCAGCACCA